Long non-coding RNA from Etheostoma spectabile (orangethroat darter), 237 nucleotides. RefSeq lists it as uncharacterized. The transcript has 2 exons. The record is from RefSeq and is a predicted model, not a curated record. Lineage: Eukaryota; Metazoa; Chordata; Actinopteri; Perciformes; Percidae.
CAUGAACUAAGCCCUAAAUAAAAACAUUUUCAAGCCAAGAAUCGCUAAACUUGCAAUUCCCCAUGACUGAAGAAUACAAUCCGUUUUAUGUCUGUGGAACAAUCUAAGAGAGACUCGUGCCAAUAACACAAAAGCUGAUUGGCUGCAAUAUAAGUUGCAUGUUGGUCUCAUUUGUAGACGUAAUACAACAAAAUUACAUUUGGACUAGCAACAGAAAGAACUACAACACCACAGAAU